UUGCCAGAGAAGCUCAUCAUUAGCAAGAUCCUGCCAGACGCAUGAAGCUAGACAGAGAUCAGUUGCAUUCAGGGGUAGGUUAAACCAUGACUAACUGCUACAAAUUAUCAGGCAGGUUCAAGAAAACAAAAGCUUACUGAGUCACAGCAUAAACAGAAUAUACAACUGCCUGCAAGAAUGUAUGCAUAAAGAAGGUACCAUCUGAAGAAAUUUCAGAGAAGAAACAGUGAGCCACAAUUUAACCCAUUCCAGAACCAGGUGCAAAAAAUCCAUAAGCUUUCACAUGUGUGUAGCAGCUCAUGUGCAGUUUGUUAGAUCACUUCUUAUCUUCCUCAUUGUGCAAUUACUUUCAGCUUUGUAGUAAUUCAGGAGGAAUGCUUUGAGAACUCACUCGUAAAACAAGAAAACCCAUUGUUAUUAUAAAGACUUUUAACUAAUGGUGUCCAGAACUAUGUUUUUAAAUUACUUUGAACAUACACUUUCAAUUUCCAGAUUCAAUAGGCGACUCAAUUGUAUGUUUCCAAACUUCCAAUUAAGUAACUUUGAUUAUCUAAUCAUUAAAACCUCUUGAUAGCUUGGCUGUAAUAACUACCACAGUAAAAAUGACAUCUAGCUUGUUUAUAAAUUGCUGAUACUCUGCUGGCUCUGUCUGAUUCCGAUUUUACUCAUGUUUUCUUCAUGUUACUUUCUUACUGCAUAAUAAAUCUUUUGCAGUGUUGAUAAGCAUGAUAGGAUACUAAAAGCUAAAUGUAAUCUAGAUGAAUGCUGUAUGGGUGUCAGCCUCUGCUUUAUUAAAUUAAAUAAAAGCCCAACAUACACUCUC
Falco peregrinus (peregrine falcon) is the source of this 823-nucleotide long non-coding RNA. RefSeq lists it as uncharacterized. Lineage: Eukaryota; Metazoa; Chordata; Aves; Falconiformes; Falconidae. The transcript has 3 exons. The record is from RefSeq and is a predicted model, not a curated record.